Pieris brassicae (large cabbage white) is the source of this 5813-nucleotide RNA transcript. It is a transcript of the gene named blood vessel epicardial substance-like, with no coding region annotated. Lineage: Eukaryota; Metazoa; Arthropoda; Insecta; Lepidoptera; Pieridae. The transcript has 7 exons. The record is from RefSeq and is a predicted model, not a curated record.
UUCGUGUAUGAUUGUUUGCUUCACUCGUGCAAUAUUUCUGAUUUUAUUUAAAAAACUAAAUUUCUUUAAUCAUAUGUCUAAAGCUGUAUAAAUUUUCUUCAUUAAGUUUUUAUUAAUACCAAUACUAGUUUUUGUGAAAACAGAAACGGGGUAUCCUAUAAGUGACCCGCGCCCGAUUUACUUUAAUGAAAAAAAUAAAUUCGCGCUUAUUUAAUAUCUUCAUGAGACAAACUAUUAAAUUUAUAAGCUGUGUUAAAGUGUGAUAAAAUUGCGCGCAAAUGCAAAACGUCCUCGGGAAAAUAUCGAUGUGCGGUUCGGACCCGGAGUUGUGUGUUCGGUGGGACUAUGUUAUUCCUCAGUGCCUUAGCAAUCGGAGUGAUAACAAGCCUUCAGAAUGGUACGGUGGAGCUGACGGCAACGGACAGUGACAUAGCAUCAACGACGACAGAUAUGGGCUUGAUAGAGACCUCGAGGGUACCUGAUAGCGGCGAUUUUGUAAACGUGACCAUUCAAGAACGGCCCUCGAUGUGGGACUUGUAUUUGAACCACUGCCCGCGUUGGAGGCCCAUAAACCAUAUAUUUUUCCAAGUAUCAAAUGUGUUCUUCUUGCUCUCAUUUUUGGCACCCCACACUCCUAGUGGCCUCAUUUGGUUACGUGUUGCCCUUAUCCUAGGCUGCACAUUCUCGGGCUUGUGGGCUUGGAGUAUAGAAUGCUAUUUGGAUGCUGUGCUGUGGAAUAGUGCUUUCAUCAUUAUUAAUUUUGUGUACUUUGCUGUUCAGUUUUAUUUGAUGAGGCCUAUCAAGUUUCACAAGGAGAUUGAAGAGGUAUAUGUAGCCCUCUUCAAGCCGCUGAGGGUGUCGCGAAGACAGUUCCGACGUGUUCUGAUGUGCAUGCGCAAUGUCAGGCAUCUCAAGUGUCAUGAGCUGUACGCCCAUGAGAAAGUCACGAAGGUGGACAGUCUGUCACUCGUGCUAAGUGGAAAGUUGGUAGUGUCACAGAAUCAACGCGCACUGCAUAUAGUGUUUCCACAUCACUUCCUAGACUCACCGGAGUGGUUCGGAGUUUCCACUGACGAGUUCUUUCAGGUCUCAAUAAUGGCGAUGGAGGAAUCACGUGUGUUGGUGUGGCACCGGGACAAGUUAAAACUGUCGAUAAUGUCUGACGCGUUUCUGCAGGCUGUGUUCGACCACAUCCUUGGUAGAGACGUCGUUCACAAGCUCAUGCAGGUGAGCGAAACAAUGGCUGUCAGUAACGGCCACCUGCCGAACAGUUAUGAGGAGGGCGAGGAUAAGCCAAUGCUCAUAGUCAAGAAGGCUGGCGAUGGGCCCGGAAUUACCGCAUUGCUUAAUCGACAAUUACAAGGCGAGCACGCGCCAUUGCUCCGAGCGCCGCCUGCGCCCGAGUGCUGAACUACGACUAAAUCCAUAAUCCCUUUCCCUAUGACUAAUUGUUUCAACUUUGAACUCUAUUUUGAAACCAUAAGGUUGUUUUUUCUUUGAUCAGAAGUACAUAAGCAGUCCCUAAAAAAAAGUUGAAUCAAUUUUCGUAUUGUCAAAAUUUAUCCGUCCCUUUAUAAUUAACGAAUUUAUUUUAUACGGUGUAUUAACGCUCAAUUGGUAUUAACAUUUAAUAUAGAAACCGAUUCAUUUGAUUUGAAUUUUGAUAUUAUCAAAAAUUAUUAUCUAUGUCAAAUAAGGAAUCGGUUUCAAAAGUAUAUACAUGUUCAAUAUAUCAUAUUUGCAUUAUACUAUCACUCCUGUGUCCUUAUCACAAUUUAUCAAUUUAAUGUGAUUUAUAUUUGUACGUGUUAUUUGCACAUUAACCGGGAGUUCCAAAAAUAGACUAAGUUAGCUAACUACGUUCUUAGUUUCACUUCACGUCACUUUCACGUGAUUGGUUACAUUUAUAGGCCACUAUUUUUGAUACUCUUUCCCUUAAAUCAGAGACAAAUUUAAGAGCAAAUUGACUCUUAUCAGAUUUUGACAUCUUAGAGAGUGAGUUUGCACUCUGUCUCAUUAGAAUUAAUGUUAUAUUUAACCAUGACAUAUUCACUAGUAUUAAAGUACAAUCAAUUGGUAUUAACCAGUAUUAACGCACAAUUAUUUAGUGAUUUAAGUAUUUUUAAGUGUAUGUACGAUUUCAUAUUAGACUGAUUAAUCUUAUAAAUACAGUUGAUCCGAUAGAUGGCGCUGUACCUAAUUGGAUAAAUUUUCUGACACAAACUUACCAUUUUCUACAUCCAUUAUUAAAGCUCGAAUGACAGCUUUAGAUCGGAAACCUAAUCGGCUAAAAGUUUCUCAAAACAUAUACUCACUUCGCUGGAUCUGUGACCCCAAAUGAGUCUUGGACCAAAAAACAUUUUAAUAAAAGCAUAGAUAUUUUGUAAGAAGAACAAAUGAAAGAAAUCUCGUAAAAGGUCCUCCUUCAAAACCCGUGUUGAUUAAUCAGUCUUAAAUUGCAUGUUCAUAUCAGAGUCCCUGUGCCUGUCUUAUAUUUUUGUGUGAUUUAAGUUCUUAUAAUUCACACAUGUAUAUGUAUUUAUAAGUAUUUUGGGUCGAGAUAAUCACGCUUGGCUGUCAUACAACAUCCUUAGUUCCCGCACUUUGACUUUGACAUUUGACAGUGACAGAUCGACCUAGUGUUACCAGUUUUCAACUUGCUUUUCAUAUGACUCAAGCAUGGUGUAUCUUGACCUACCACCAUAUAUAAUGUUACCUUAUUCAGUAUCUAGUAUCCUAGUUCCCAUACCGUUAUUCCUAAGCAUGUUGAAGAAUCAAGUGAAUCAGCAACAGAUCCGAACGCAUGGCGUCUUGGCAGAAUCGAGGAGACAGACCACGAAACACCAGUCUGAGGUCACGCUUUGCACCUGGCGGUUAGACCGCGCAGGCGCGACCAUCGCUAGGGCAUUUGAGACUUUAUGUUUAUUAACAUAAGGACGAAUUAACAAUGUCCUAAAUAUAGGUGAACCUGCGGCGCUACAAGUUUGUUUUGGCAACUCUAUUACCGAAGAGUGAAGGUUUAUUUUAGCGAGUCAAAGCCAAUUGUCAAAAUAUCCUUGAACGAGACUUUAAAUUAUGAAAUGAUCCGAAUUUUCUUUGUUGUCAAUAAGAAUGUUUGAUCUAAUGUCUGUUUUUAAUGUGACCUUCUAUAUUACCAAUAUUCUGACUCGGCAACUUAGACAAUUCGGGGAUUUUUAAAUUCAUUCCUUUAAGAUAACGAUUUUCGACUGUUUUGCGGUUAGCUUCAGUGUGUUUCCGUUUAAAAGAAUUGUAACUUUUCUUAUUUCUCUGUAUUUAACCUUUUGAACUAAUUAUCAAUCUAUUUGAAAAUUUAUAGUCUGAAAUUGGGACGUGACGACAGUAUAUUGGUGAUAUCUGUGAUCGUUGUUAAACACAUAUGUUUGAGUUUACGGUUCUGGCGUUGUUUUGACGUCUUAACAACAAAUAAAUAUGGAUGACAUUUCACAUGGGUCAACAAUACCCGCUUUAAUGACGUCAGAACUUGACAACAUUGGGCGUUUUGUAGACCACAGAGAAGUAUAUACAAACAUUAUACUCAUUAUAAUAACUAUACAUAUUAUAAUUUAAAUUACCUUUAUAGUUCCAAAAUUCAUGAUAAUACGCUCCGGCGCAUAUUUAAGUCACAAAAGUCGGAGUCAAAGUUAAAAAAAAAAAUUUUUUUUCGCGUUGUUGGUAAAGAUUACAUACAGAGAAAUAGUCUUCGCGUUUGAUUUAAAAAAAAUAGCUUUAAACGUUGAGCAAAUGAUCAGUAUUGGCUAGAUGUGCUUGAAUUUGUGAUUGGAACGGAUCUCUGUAGUUGUAUUGUAUUAAAUUAAGACGGUAUCGCGAAGUUUUAUAAAGAAACCCGAAUACAGCAAUCAUGUAUUGCUUACUCUUUUUACACGAUACAGUGUGAAAGAGACCAAUAUAACGAUGUAUAUUUUGUAUGCAAAUUAUUGUUUAUACCCAAUAGUAUCACGUGACUUGGUUUAUCUGUCUCUUUCUCAUUGUGUGAUGUGAAGAAGAUAGCAAUAAUUUUGAUUUUGGCGGCUUUCUUAAUCGUAUUUUAAUGUAAAAACAAUAAAUGCGGUUUAAAACGCGCUUAAUCUAUACUGAUACUCAUUUUUACAAAAUAUGACACAAAAUAAAAGAGAUUUUAGCUGGAUUGAAACACGUUUAAAAAUAUGUAUUAAAACUGGUAACGGUUAACACAGACAAACGAUGACUAAAGUUUAUUUUAUUUUUAACAUACUAAUACGUCAGAAUUUUAUAGAAAACACGAAAUAUUAUAAUUCAAAGGCGUUAAUCAUCUUCAUUUGUAGACCAACAUACUUUUAUUUAACAAAUAUUUUUGACGCGUUUUUAAAGUCCAAAUACUUAUUUUGACUAGAGGCAUUUAUUUUCAGACUUCGCGAUCCAAAAUCGCAAUAUAUAUUUGUAAUGUCAUAAACAAAUAUUAUUUUGUGUAAACUUUUAUAAGUGACUGAACUGAUGUCGGUUGAUUGUAAAUAACUAUGUACAAAAGUAGGUUUUUUGGAUGUGAGUGUUAGAGAAAUAGAAAAAAAAUAUAUUUUAUUGACCAGAACUCAGUUAAAGCCAAAAAUAAUAAAGCAAAUUUAGACACAGCUAUUGGCAAGUAAAAGCCUGAUGAAAAUUAUAUAUUUUCAGAGCAGCAACAUUGUUUUAAAAACAGGACUUGGGCCCCUUACAACAUUAUCUAUAAUCUACUAUUAAGACGCUUUAUUCUUUAAAAAAAAAUUCUCUCUAUUCUAAUGUCAAACUUCAUGAUUUUUUUUUACAUAUCCUGACCAUAAUUUGACUUUACGUUAUGUUGUAAUUUGUGAGACUACGCACUGGGGACGCCUUUAAUCUUGUUUCCAGAUUUGUCGUAUUGUGGUUAAUGGGCCUACGAGCAUCUAGAUAUAACUGGUACUUGGACAUUUUGAAUUAUUUUGAACGCACAAAAUUCGUAUAUGACAUAAACGGUUGAGGGCAUAAAUGUGUUUAUAUAUAAAAUUGAGAUCAGAAGAUCAGUAAAGGGACAAUUUUUACAGUCGGUUCUAAACUUUCUUUUAAAUUAUUACAUUAAAUCGCUUAUUCAAAAGGGAUGAUAGAAAAUAAUUGACAUUCCUGAUUAUUUGUAUUAGCUUUAAACCAUUGUAAUUUAUACAGACAAGUACAAUUAUUGCCAUUACAUAAUUUUCAUAUUGAUAUUUAUUAGUUGUAUGUAACGCAAAAUUUUAUUAAACUGACUAUGUAAUAAUAAUGAUAUCAUACGCACUGCCAUUGCAAAUGUUUGUAGCUAAUUGAUUCAUAUGAAUAUGUUGGAUCUCAAUGUUUGACUAACAAUUACCUAAAUGGUUACUUAUCAAUUGUUCAAGAAUUGAAAUUAAAAAAUAGGUGAUAAUAUUGUGAAGGUCAGACAAAACACUCUUGAAUUUAUAAUUAGAAUUUAUUUAUGAAACUAUCUGUUUAAAUAAAUAUUUUGUAUGAAAUUAUAUCUGAACAUGAUUUUAUCUUGGAAAUUUUCAGCUCUUGAAUCAUUGAACAAGAAAUAAAAUGCCAGAUGUGCUAAUUAAAGGUAACAAGCUAAAGGUUAAUACACUGAAGGAUUUUUAAUCUGGAUGUACACUAAAUUGAAUGGAUAAAGAUAAAAAAAAAUCGAUAAAUGUAACCUUGGUGAUUGUUCACUUCUAGAAUGCCUUAAAAAGUUGCCAUGUGUGAUAAUGUAAAUUAUGUGUGGUUGGUCAUUUGAAUCAUUGUAGCAUAUGUUAAUAAGAUAGAAAAUUAAAUUACCUUAUGAAUUGUGUAAA